Molecule: ribosomal RNA, 254 nt
Filed under: uncultured bacterium
Lineage: Bacteria
Description: partial 16S ribosomal RNA
Rfam family: Bacterial small subunit ribosomal RNA
Source: RNAcentral
UACGUAGGGUGCAAGCGUUGUCCGGAUUUAUUGGGCGUAAAGAGCUCGUAGGCGGUUCAGUAAGUCGGGUGUGAAAACUCUGGGCUCAACCCAGAGACGCCACCCGAUACUGCUGUGACUUGAGUACGGUAGGGGAGUGGGGAAUUCCUGGUGUAGCGGUGAAAUGCGCAGAUAUCAGGAGGAACACCAGUGGCGAAGGCGCCACUCUGGGCCGUAACUGACGCUGAGGAGCGAAAGCGUGGGUAGCAAACAGG